CAAAACACUUCAAGUUCAAAGUUCAGACUAUAUGAAGCAGUUUGCACAUGUUUGACCGGAUCAAGAAGCUAAGAUGAACAUGUUGUCCGGGAGAUCAGACUACUAUGCCACAUUUGAGGCGGUUGAUCCCACAAAAUUGAACAAGAUAUGUGAAGAAUCUAGGAGUGUUUUUUCUGUUAAGUUUCUUUCGCAAUCAGACUCCACGAGCACUCAAAAAUAACCGCCAGCGAAGCUACCGGACAUCUCCUCGGUACUCAUCAGCUCAUCUGUUGGGUCAAUGGCACUCUUCAGCAUUUCUCCCAAACUCGCAAAUUCACCGUAAUGAUAGAUGGCGUCGGACUGAAAGGGGGCAUCAUUGGCAGCCUCGGCUUCCUCGACCUCAACAUUGUUGGUAGCAGCUGCUCCUUCUUCAUCUUCUGCAGCCUCGGCUUCCUCGACCUCAACAUUGUUGUCAGCAUUGGCUCCUUCUUCAUCUUCUGCAGCCACAAGGUCCAUAGCAACAAGAUCAGUUUGUGCAGACUAAAACAAAGUCAAACAUGUGUGUCAUUUUUUUAGCAAAGUCAAACCUGCUACAGAAGGUCCGGCACAUACGAGC
Molecule: long non-coding RNA, 595 nt
Filed under: Triticum aestivum (bread wheat)
Lineage: Eukaryota; Viridiplantae; Streptophyta; Magnoliopsida; Poales; Poaceae
Description: long non-coding RNA (TAES_LNC021240)
Source: RNAcentral